ACGCGUGGAACCUUACCAGGUCUUGACAUCCCCCUGACCGGUCUGGAGACAGAUCUUCCCCUUCGGGGGCAGCGGUGACAGGUGGUGCAUGGUUGUCGUCAGCUCGUGUCGUGAGAUGUUGGGUUAAGUCCCGCAACGAGCGCAACCCUUGAUCUUAGUUGCCAGCAUUCAGUUGGGCACUCUAAGGUGACUGCCGGUGACAAACCGGAGGAAGGUGGGGAUGACGUCAAAUCAUCAUGCCCCUUAUGACCUGGGCUACACACGUGCUACAAUGGAUGGUACAAAGGGCAGCAAAGCGGUGACGCCUAGCAAAUCCCAUAAAACCAUUCUCAGUUCGGAUUGUAGGCUGCAACUCGCCUACAUGAAGCUGGAAUCGCUAGUAAUCGCGGAUCAGCAUGCCGCGGUGAAUACGUUCCCGGGCCUUGCACUCACCGCCCGU
RNAcentral lists this ribosomal RNA (439 nucleotides) under uncultured bacterium. RNAcentral's name for it is "bacterial SSU rRNA". It matches the Rfam family "Bacterial small subunit ribosomal RNA", at positions 959 to 1397 of the family's 1533-position model. The record is from RNAcentral.